AUCCAGUUGACGAGUCCCAAAUAGGACGAAAUGCGCCUUGUCCUGGAU
RNAcentral lists this non-coding RNA (48 nucleotides) under Trichobilharzia regenti. The record is from RNAcentral. Lineage: Eukaryota; Metazoa; Platyhelminthes; Trematoda; Strigeidida; Schistosomatidae.